Molecule: ribosomal RNA, 433 nt
Filed under: uncultured bacterium
Lineage: Bacteria
Description: partial 16S ribosomal RNA
Rfam family: Bacterial small subunit ribosomal RNA
Source: RNAcentral
AACGAACGCUGGCGGCAUGCCUAACACAUGCAAGUCGAACGAGACCUUCGGGUCUAGUGGCGCACGGGUGCGUAACGCGUGGGAACCUGCCCUUAGGUUCGGAAUAACUCCCCGAAAGGGGUGCUAAUACCGGAUAAUGUCUUCGGACCAAAGAUUUAUCGCCUUUGGAUGGGCCCGCGUUGGAUUAGCUAGUUGGUAGGGUAAAAGCCUACCAAGGCGACGAUCCAUAGCUGGUCUGAGAGGAGGAUCAGCCACACUGGGACUGAGACACGGCCCAGACUCCUACGCGAGGCAGCAGUGGGGAAUAUUGGACAAGGGGCGAAAGCCUGAUCCAGCAAUGCCGCGUGAGUGAUGAAGGCCUUAGGGUUGUAAAGCUCUUUUACCCGGGAUGAUAAUGACAGUACCGGGAGAAUAAGCACCGGCUAACUCCGUG